This is a long non-coding RNA of Athalia rosae (coleseed sawfly), 963 nucleotides long. RefSeq lists it as uncharacterized. Lineage: Eukaryota; Metazoa; Arthropoda; Insecta; Hymenoptera; Athaliidae. The transcript has 3 exons. The record is from RefSeq and is a predicted model, not a curated record.
GUUAUCAGGUUCCUUGCAGAGGGGUCGUUUUACCGCUGAAUCAGCGAUCGUUUGUAAAAUAAUAUAUUUUUUUUUUUUAUUUCUUUCGGAACAGUUUACUCAUUUUCGUUACCGCGGAAAGACGUGAGAAGCUUCGAGGCCUCCACGUACAUAUAAUAUCUGGGUUUAGAGGUGAGGAGGAGCGGCGCGAUUUCAUUCUACAGCAUCCGCAUCAUGAGCUGCGUAUACGUAUAUUACAGCCGAAGCAAACGGCUGUAUAUUUGUUUAAGCUUGCACCAGAGAUAUCUCCUGUUUAUCAGGUGUUUAUGUUCGGAGUGCCGCAUAAUUAUCAAACAAUUGAAAAGAAGUCGGAAAUACCAUUCCCGGAAUUAUUAGAUUAUUAAUUCUUCACCGAGUUCGUCGUAAUUCCUUUGAAUUAUAUAUUUACACAAAUAUUUCUAUUACAUCUCCGGAGGUUCCUCGCUUUCUUCGCCAUCUCCCGUACAUCAAUCUCUAAACAUCGAAUCCCUGCGCGCAACAAUUGCUGUCAAAUAUUACUUACACGAUAAUAAUUGUUAUUUAUUUAUUUUUUUUUAAUAAUUAUUAACGGUAAUAGUCGAUGAAAUGAGGCCGGGGGAAAAAAUGGACGUCUGGUGUGCGGCCAUUCAGGUGAUCGUCCGCUGCCCCAAUGAGAGCCGUUCACCUCGACCCAAACACCUGUCUGAUCAUUACCUGACUAUACGCAGCGACCAAUCGGAUGCGAUCUCACCGCAAAUCGGUGAUGGAGUCGGUGCAAACCGGCAUAUAACGUGGGCGCGGGAAUACCUAUAUACACGAAGGUAUACGUAUAACGGGUAUGUAUCCACUGUACGUGUGUAUACUAGAUGUACGAAAUGAUUUCACUACGGGCGGGAUGAGAUGCGGAGAUGGUAUAAUAAGGGGGAGGGAAAAUAAACAUCGUUGCGUGCGAGAUGAUCCACGAUA